UACGGGGGGGGCAAGCGUUGUUCGGAAUUACUGGGCGUAAAGGGCUCGUAGGCGGCCAACUAAGUCAGACGUGAAAUCCCCAGGCUCAACCUGGGAACUGCGUCUGAUACUGGAUGGCUUGAAUUCGGGAGAGGGAUGCAGAAUUCCAGGUGUAGCGGUGAAAUGCGUAGAUAUCAGGAGGAACACCAAUGGCGAAGGCAGCUCGCUGGGACGGUACUGACGCUGAGACGCGAAAGCGUGGGGAGCAAACAGG
This 253-nucleotide ribosomal RNA is filed under the name uncultured bacterium. Its description in RNAcentral is "partial 16S ribosomal RNA". It matches the Rfam family "Bacterial small subunit ribosomal RNA", at positions 524 to 776 of the family's 1533-position model. The record is from RNAcentral.